UUAGCUCAUAUUUGUAUGGAACGGGAUCGUUUGCGUACGUUUGCCGCUAGGGGCGCUGUUCCAACUGCAUACAAAAUUGGGUUA
Molecule: microRNA precursor, 84 nt
Filed under: Bombyx mori (domestic silkworm)
Lineage: Eukaryota; Metazoa; Arthropoda; Insecta; Lepidoptera; Bombycidae
Description: mir-2807 microRNA precursor family
Rfam family: mir-2807 microRNA precursor family
Source: Rfam by way of RNAcentral